CGAACGCUGGCGGCGUGCUUAACACAUGCAAGUCGAGCGAUGAAGUUUCUUCGGAAAUGGAUUAGCGGCGAACGGGUGAGGAACACGUGAAGAAUCUGCCCUCCACUUUGGGAUAACACCGGGAAACCGGUGCUAAUACUGAAUAUUGAAACAUAAGUGGCAUCACUGAGUUUUGAAAGAAUUUCGGUGGAGGAUGACUUCGCGGCCUAUCAGCUAGUUGGUGAGGUAAUGGCUCACCAAGGCAACGACGGGUAGCCGGCCUGAGAGGGCGACCGGCCACACUGGGACUGAGACACGGCCCAGACUCCUACGGGAGGCAGCAGUGGGGAAUAUUGGGCAAUGGAGGAAACUCUGACCCAGCGACGCCGCGUGAGGGAUGAAGGCCUUCGGUUGUAAACCUCUUUCAGUAGGAAGAAGCGAAAGUGACGGUACUACAGAAGAAGCACGGCUAACUAUGUGCCAGCAGCCGCGGUAAUCUGAUGGC
This 484-nucleotide ribosomal RNA is filed under the name uncultured bacterium. RNAcentral describes it as "bacterial SSU rRNA". It matches the Rfam family "Bacterial small subunit ribosomal RNA", at positions 30 to 532 of the family's 1533-position model. The record is from RNAcentral.